This 28-nucleotide non-coding RNA is filed under the name Mus musculus (house mouse). Lineage: Eukaryota; Metazoa; Chordata; Mammalia; Rodentia; Muridae. The record is from RNAcentral.
UGGCAGCUGCACACAUGUGCACAUACCC